AGAAUUUUAAGUUAUUUAAACUUGAAGCCUUCAAAGCUUUCUAAAAAAGUGUCAAUCUUUUAAAUUCUA
RNAcentral lists this transfer RNA (69 nucleotides) under Ocypode cordimanus. RNAcentral's name for it is "tRNA-Trp". Lineage: Eukaryota; Metazoa; Arthropoda; Malacostraca; Decapoda; Ocypodidae. The record is from RNAcentral.